Mus pahari (shrew mouse) is the source of this 1828-nucleotide RNA transcript. It is a transcript of the gene named sulfotransferase 1C2, with no coding region annotated. The record is from RefSeq and is a predicted model, not a curated record. Lineage: Eukaryota; Metazoa; Chordata; Mammalia; Rodentia; Muridae. The transcript is spliced from 9 exons.
UCAUGCGUCUGCUUUGAGUAACUUAAUACGGGCUGCGCUCAUCCAGGCACAGGCUGUUUUGAGUAAAAGGCUGAAUGAGACAGCUUUUGGGGAUUUUUCCUUUUGAAUCAUAAGCGUGGCUACACCCUAGGUUUUCGUUUUUUCCUAUUCUAAACUCUAUCAGACUAGAGAGAAAGAGUACCACCAAUCAGCAAGAACACGGGAAUCUACUCCAAAGCGAGGAGCUUGCACCUAGUGGGGAAUCAGGUGGUCUUAGGAUGGGAGGAGCAGUGUGCUUUCCUCUAUGAAUUCGUCUAAACUGCCUUGAGUCUGCGAGCACUCGAAGUAGUGGAGACUCAGAGAGGAGCGAUCAGUAUACAGUGAAAGUCACUUCCUCAUUGGGCCGAUGCCAAGGUUUGUUUCUUGUAGACUUGACUCUGCUGAUUAAGGGUCUAGCUGAUCCCACUGACGGCAGAGCCUUCAAGACUGAUUGCUAAAGGUUGGGGACUUUUGGCACAGUAGAAUUUGAGCCUCUGUGCUUGCCAGAAAUACGUCCCUCCUUCCUCUAUAUGCACUUUUGUACUCACUGAACACUGGGCAGUCCAGCUUUCGGAUUACAGACAACUAGAGCUUGAAGGGACUGGACCCUCUUCCUGAGACAUCAUGGCCCUGACCCCAGAACCGAGCGGACAAACAAUACUGAAAGAGGUAGCAGGGAUCCCACUGCAGGCUCCAACUGUGGACAACUGGAGGCAGAUUCAGACUUUUGAGGCCAAGCCAGAUGACCUCCUCAUUUGUACUUACCCUAAAUCAGGGACUACAUGGAUUCAAGAAAUUGUGGACAUGAUCGAGCAGAAUGGGGAUGUAGAGAAGUGCCGGAGAACCAUCAUCCAACACCGACACCCUUUUAUUGAGUGGGCACGGCCACCCCAGCCAUCAGGGGUGGACAAGGCCAAUGAGAUGCCAGCUCCAAGGAUAUUAAGGACCCAUCUUCCCACUCAACUACUGCCACCAUCUUUCUGGACAAACAACUGUAAGUUCCUUUAUGUAGCUCGAAAUCCUAAAGACUGCAUGGUUUCCUACUACCACUUCUACAGGAUGAGCCAGGUGCUCCCAGAGCCAGGCACCUGGGAUGAGUAUUUUGAAACCUUCAUCAAUGGAAAGGUAAGUUGGGGAUCCUGGUUUGACCAUGUGAAAGGAUGGUGGGAAAUUCGAGACAGAUACCAGAUUCUCUUCCUCUUCUACGAAGAUCUGAAGAGGGACCCAAAGCAUGAAAUCCAGAAGGUGAUACAGUUCAUGGGCAAGAAUUUGGAUGAAGAGGUGGUGGAUAAAAUAGUCCUGGAGACAGCAUUUGAGAAAAUGAAAGAGAAUCCUAUGACAAAUCGUUCUACAGUCCCCAAAUCUAUCCUGGACCAGUCCAUAUCCCCUUUCAUGAGAAAAGGAACUGUGGGUGAUUGGAAAAACCACUUUACUGUGGCCCAGAAUGAGAGGUUUGAUGAAAUCUAUAAGCAAAAGAUGGGCACAACCUCUCUGAACUUCUGCAUGGAACUCUGAUCAAGAUGUGAAGACACCAAGAACAGGAAUCUGUCUGCAAGCCUCAAUCCAGCCAAAGGAAUCCAGUUUGAGAGCAAACUGUAAAUGCCAAGGAUUGUGUCUCCGACUCUGUGAUUACUAACAUCACAUUACAACUCAUAAAAGCAGAUCAUGUCCAAGAUUAUAUCAUUGGAAUGAGAUUGUAUUUUUCAACAAGAACUGAUUAAAGUAAUUUUAGAUACAGAGAUACUCAAUGGAACACCUGGGAAUGAUUCUUCUCUACGUUUCUUGCCCUAGAGAGAUGGCUCAUAUUCAA